This 524-nucleotide ribosomal RNA is filed under the name uncultured bacterium. RNAcentral's name for it is "partial 16S ribosomal RNA". It matches the Rfam family "Bacterial small subunit ribosomal RNA", at positions 28 to 523 of the family's 1533-position model. The record is from RNAcentral.
GACGAACGCUGGCGGCGUGCUUAACACAUGCAAGUCGAACGGACAGACAGAGAGCUUGCUCUCUUGAAGUUAGUGGCGAACGGGUGAGUAACGCGUAAUCAAACUGCCCUUAAGAGGGGGAUAACAACGGGAAACCGUUGCUAAUACCGCGUACGAUUCAUGAACGGCAUCGUUUAUGAAUGAAAGGUGGCCUCUAUGUAUAAGCUAUCGCUGAAGGAGGGGAUUGGGUCUGAUUAGCUAGUUGGAGGGGUAACGGCCCACCAAGGCAAUGAUCAGUAGCCGGUCUGAGAGGAUGAACGGCCACAUUGGGACUGAGACACGGCCCAAACUCCUACGGGAGGCAGCAGUGGGGAAUCUUCCGCAAUGGACGAAAGUCUGACGGAGCAACGCCGCGUGAGUGAUGAAGGUCUUCGGAUUGUAAAGCUCUGUUAAUCGGGACGAAAGAGUUCUGCGUGAAUAAUGCAGAAAAGUGACGGUACCGGAAUAGAAAGCCACGGCUAACUACGUGCCAGCCGCCGCGGUAA